AAACGACUCUCGGCAACGGAUAUCCCGGCUCUCGCAUCGAUGAAGAACGUAGCGAAAUGCGAUACUUGGUGUGAAUUGCAGAAUCCCGUGAACCAUUGAGUCUUUGAACGCAAGUUGCGCCUGAAGCCCUAGGCUGAGGGCACGUCUGCCUGGGUGUCACGC
Molecule: ribosomal RNA, 162 nt
Filed under: Chaerophyllum byzantinum
Lineage: Eukaryota; Viridiplantae; Streptophyta; Magnoliopsida; Apiales; Apiaceae
Description: 5.8S ribosomal RNA
Rfam family: 5.8S ribosomal RNA
About the family: 5.8S ribosomal RNA (5.8S rRNA) is a component of the large subunit of the eukaryotic ribosome. It is transcribed by RNA polymerase I as part of the 45S precursor that also contains 18S and 28S rRNA.
Source: RNAcentral